GUGCACUGAACUUCUGUUUUUUUACAGGCUUGAACUGGUUUCUGAUCACUUAUAUGGGUUUUGUGUAACUUUUGCCCCUAGCCUCAAAGACCAAUAAAUCAACACAAAUAUUUUCAGUUCCAGCAUCCAAUUUUGUCACUGCUAAAACUUAGGCCCUUUUCCCUAACAGCCACCCUACAUCAUAGAUACUGGUAUGGUUCUUUGUCUGGGAGCAAUCUCUUAUCUGGUCUGCUCUGAUCAGCAGACAACCCCAAUUAUGGCUCAUCUCAACCUUCUGAGGAGUUAGUCUCUACUGAUCCCUUGACCCACAGCUUAGACUAGUGUUUCCCAAUCUUUUCCAGCUGAAGGCACACUUACAUUAAUAAAAAUUUUUUGCGAUACACCUGUUAAGGCAUUCCCCAUUCUCAUACCUUUUGUAGCUCAAUGCUAUGGCAAAAUUCUGUAGCACACCUGUUCAUUUCUGAACAUACUUUUGUGCUGUGGCACACUGGUUGGGAAACACUGGCUUAGACCGCCAACUCCCAGCACUAGAAGGUGCCAGUAAGCAAACUAUUCUGCUGCUCUCCUGCUGCUAAGGCUGUUCUAGCUUUCCUCCUACAUUGUGUCCCCUGGGAGAACUGCAGGAACUUUCCAGUAGAACUGCCUAUGUACUUUCCUGAACUGGAAAGUCAAGGCUGAAGAAGGCUGAAGCUAAAGAGAACAGAAGGUUGUAUCUGCUGCAGUAAUUUGAAGUGACAGCUUGGUUUGAAGCACCCUCUAGUGGCAUGAAGAUUUCAGGUCUUAAAUCUGAAUAUCAGAUGGAAAGAUGAAUCUAAUGAGUCUCAACUAUCUCACAAGUCAAGGGACAGAAAAAGUAAAUGUAGCAAGAAGAGCAGCUAAAUAGAGGUUUCAAAGUACUGAGAUCCUUGCAGCAGACUCUUCC
Gavialis gangeticus (Gharial) is the source of this 922-nucleotide long non-coding RNA. RefSeq lists it as uncharacterized. Lineage: Eukaryota; Metazoa; Chordata; Crocodylia; Gavialidae. The record is from RefSeq and is a predicted model, not a curated record. The transcript is spliced from 4 exons.